Molecule: non-coding RNA, 618 nt
Organism: Sinocyclocheilus anshuiensis
Lineage: Eukaryota; Metazoa; Chordata; Actinopteri; Cypriniformes; Cyprinidae
Source: the annotation of a RefSeq genome assembly
UUAAUCUCAGCCAUGGAAAAACUGAUGAUUAUUGUGCUUUUCUUCUCAGCACAGGACUCUGUGUGCUGGGGGCAAGACAGAGUUGAACAGCCUUUAGGAGAAAUUACUGCAAUUAAAGGAGAUCCAGUUACUCUACAGUGCAAUUAUUCUACCAGUGCUACAAAUGCUUAUCUCUUCUGGUACAAACAGCUACCAAACAGAUCACCAACAUUCAUUCUGAGUGAAUUUACAAUUGGUAAAGGAACUACUGAAGAUGAAUUUAAAGAGAGAUUUUCUGCAACAUUGGACUCCAAAUCAAGCACAGUUCGACUGACAAUCAAGAAUCUGCGUGUGUCUGACUCUGCUGUGUACUACUGUGCUCUGAAGCCCACAAGUGCAAUACACAAGAUUCUGUCAAUCAACCAACAAGAGUUCAAACAGCUUCUGAACAUGAGAUGGUUAAACUUCACUGCACUUACAGUACCAGUGAUUCAUACCCUUAUCUUUACUGGAACCAACAUAAAACCAAUGGAUUACCAGUUUACAUGCUCCGUAAACUCUCGACUGGAUCAAGCAGCAGUGAAAAAGAAUUUGAGGAAAGUUUUCAUGCAGAUCUCAACAAAUCCUCAAGCUCAGUGA